CUUGACGGCCUCGAAGCGUGGCUCCUUCGCAUCGAACUUCUGCUUGGCGUACACAUCCAUGUACUCGCCGAACACGUACUCCGGGUACUCGCCGCCGGCGCCCACCGCCGGCGAGAUGGUGGCCUCGAACGCCGGGUUGUAGAACGACGCGACGGAGCGCCGGUUUCCGUCGCGCAUGGGGAGGACGCGGUGCCACGCGCUGCGGUAGCGGCCGUUGCUGAGCACCUCCACCUGGUCGCCGGUGUUGACGACGAUGGCGUCGGCGAGCGGCUGCACGUCGACCCACUCGCCGCCCCUGAGCACCUGGAGGCCGCCGACGCGGUCGUCCUGGAACAGCAGGAUGACGCCGCCGGCGUCGGUGUGGGCGCGGAGGCCGGUGAUGAGGUCGGGGCGCGGGCACGGCGGGUAGUGGCUGACCUUGGUGCCGAAGAACGGCGCGUGGCGGCCGUCGCCGGUGAAGGCGCGCCUCAUGCGCCCCUUGUCGAGGCCGAGGUUCUCGUCCAUGGCCUCCAUCACCCUCUCGGCGAGCCCCCGCAGCGCCGCGCGGUACUCGCGCAUCGUCUCCUUGAACUCCGGCGGGUUCGACGGCCACUGGUUGUCGUCGUGGAGGUAGAAGAUGUCCUCCCAGUCCAUGUCGUCCACCGGCGCCGCCGCCUCGCCGCGCCGCUCCGCCGCCAUGAGCCCCUCCAGCGUCCUCACCGGCUCCGACUCCAUGAACGCCGCCUCCCGGAGUCGGUAGCUCUCCAAGCACACCUUCUUCACCCGAUCAAGAAGCUCCUUCGGGACGCCAUGGUUCACCAGCUGCA
RNAcentral lists this small RNA (806 nucleotides) under Oryza sativa Japonica Group (Japanese rice). RNAcentral's name for it is "sRNA Os05g0149450". The record is from RNAcentral. Lineage: Eukaryota; Viridiplantae; Streptophyta; Magnoliopsida; Poales; Poaceae.